RNAcentral lists this ribosomal RNA (440 nucleotides) under uncultured bacterium. RNAcentral describes it as "partial 16S ribosomal RNA". It matches the Rfam family "Bacterial small subunit ribosomal RNA", at positions 338 to 795 of the family's 1533-position model. The record is from RNAcentral.
CCUACGGGUGGCAGCAGUGGGGAAUAUUGCUCAAUGGGGGAAACCCUGAUGCAGCGACGCCGCGUGUGGGAAGAAGGAUUUAUGAGUGUAAAGCUCUUUUAGGAGAGAAGAAAAUGACGGUACCUGAUUAAUAAGCACAGGCUAACUACGUGCCAGCAGCCGCGGUAAUACGUAGGCGGCAAGCGUUAUCCGGAUUUACUGGGCGUAAAGGGGGCGUAGUGGGUUGAAUAAGUCUGUGGUGAAAUUCCGGGGCUUAACCCGGGAACUGCCUCUAAAACUGUUAAGCUAGAGUGCAGGAGGGGUAAGUGGAAUUCCUAGUGUAGCGGUGAAAUGCGUAGAUAUUAGGAGGAACACCAGUGGCGAAGGCGGCUUACUGGACUGUAACUGACGUUGAGGCACGAAAGCGUGGGGAGCAAACAGGAUUAGAUACCCGAGUAGUC